CGGCCAGGGCUGUACCCUCCUCCUCCUCCUCCUCGCCUGCGUGUGGGCUCAUGCGUCGCGGCGCUUUUGCGUGCAGGCAGCGCCGGCGUCGUCCAGCUCACAUGUGCAUACUCAUACACGCACACACGUAAAUCAAACGAAAAGGCAGGCAUACCCACCGGAUCGCAUUACUUACACGCACACACAGUUGCACGGCCAGGAACGCCUAGCAAGCGCAUUUUAUCUGACGGAAUCAGAUCAUCGAGUUCAUGACGAAUGGAAGAGGGCGCGCCCGCUAAUGCGACAGCGUCACUACCGCCGUCCUAUGAGUCUGUCCUCGUUUUUCUUACAACGCUGGCGCAGUGGCUCAAGCAUGCGCGAGAGCGCCUGAAAUGCCGAGACGAAGUCGGCCGACACGCAAUUGCGGUGGAGGUCCUCACCCGCCACCGCGAACGCGCCUAUGAGCGGCUGGCAGAAUCUGUAUGGCGUCAUACAGCUGCUGCCGGUGACAUAAGCACAUCACUUUUUCCCUCUGCUUCAGUCGAGCUGGCCGCGUGGGUGCUGCUGCGGCUUCUCGUCCUCCUCCUUACCUGGUGGUUGCUGAUUCGGCUGGUGCGCGCGACCACCCUACCGCGACUGCGCGCUCGCCAAAUUGCGGUGCACCCUGACGUGCAUCUGUCAACGAGCGUCGGAAAUGCACAGGCGGUAGAGGCGUUUAUUCAUCCCGACGCUGCUCAGCGCGGCAUCAACGCCACGCUGCUGUUGACUGUCAGCGCUUGCGUGUCGGUGGCGUGCCUGCUCAUUCUCUGCCUGCUUACAAUGCAUGUAUGGGUGGACGUAGUGCUGUUGCGCCUGCUCCAACAUUGGACCGCCCCACUACGGCAGGCACAGGCGUGGGUGGCGUCGCAUUGGUUGUGGCCCUCCAACAGCCCGCAGCCGGGCUCACUGCGAGCGCCUGCCGCCCCUGUGGAGCAGUACGCAACUUCUUUCAUUAGUGUUGUUUCUGGACUAAAUUCCAGCUUGUUCAGCAAGCUCGCGUGGCUGCGUCGAGUGACACAGCAGGUGAAGCUGAUGUACCUGUGGGGCAUGGUCGGAGGGACCAUGUUGGGGGUGGCGCUCUGGCUACUUGGCUACUCCUCUAGGCUGCUGCGGACCUACAACACGAGUCUGCCGUACUUUGAAGAGAAUGACCCUCUACUGCGCUGGCUGGGCCAGCAGGAGGCGGCGGCCGCUCAGCAACGUACCAACGCGGCGUUUGCCGCUCUGCUUGAAAGCCAGCAUAGGCAAGAGCGGGUAAUGGAGAGGCUGGCAAGCUCAUUGGCGCCCGCGACUCCUCGACAGCGGCAGCGCUAUCUGCAAAUGACGGAAGAAGGAGUAGAAUCGCAUUGCUUCGUGGAUGAUGCUGCGCUAGCGGCAGCGACAAGCGACGCCACAGAAGACGGGCGGUGCAAUGGUGAGACAGCCGCAGGCGGAACUGACGCGGUGAUCAUCGGCAAAGGCUGCAGCGGCGGUGGCGAUCCAGGAAAGUUGCGUGUGGAAUCUGGUCCUUCACCCGAUAAAGCUUUGGCCGCUGCCUUCGAAGAAGCAGCGGCGGCAGCGUCGGCGACGCGAGAUGAAGGAGCCGCUGAGGCUAGCUGCGGCACAACACCGCAGGCGGAGGAGAAGGAGGGGGCAGCAACCACAGCUUCGCGGAUGGCAAAAGAAGGAGAGAGUCCUAGGAGCUAGAGGGGGAGUGAUUGCUUUCCGGUCAUGCGGGUGGGUGAAGUAAGGGAGGAGGUAUGCGUGCCCGUACCUGUAUGCAAUAAGUGGUGCCUUGUCCACCAACACCAGCGUCACCUGCUUCUUUCGAUUUCCAGCUGCAAAUCGAGUGAUGCUGCAUGGCGCCUUUCUUUGGUGUCUGCAGCGCGCACAUCUGAGGCUUGCCGCUUGUGUGUGUAUGCGUUGUUUGCCUUCAUUGACUCCGACUCCCACUUCAUUUGCCAUCGCCCUGAGUUGCCUCUGCUGGCAGGGAACAGAAGCGAGGGGCGGCCGUGCGAGACCGCUUACAGCAUCAGUGCUUGUGCAAGGCUGUAAGUUGUCCCUCUGCUAGUGCUGCAGUGAGCGUGUUUUCUCUGCCUUCAGGGAUGGUCAUCCGUGCAGCGAACUCCGCUCAUUCCCAAAGUCUCAGACGCAGCGGUGAACACACAAGGAAAAG
This 2173-nucleotide unclassified non-coding RNA is filed under the name Leishmania donovani. RNAcentral describes it as "gene:LdHU3.36.3240(CDS-product:hypothetical_prote in_conserved)". Lineage: Eukaryota; Euglenozoa; Kinetoplastea; Trypanosomatida; Trypanosomatidae. The record is from RNAcentral.